RNAcentral lists this ribosomal RNA (407 nucleotides) under Verrucomicrobiota bacterium. Its description in RNAcentral is "Verrucomicrobia bacterium partial 16S ribosomal RNA". It matches the Rfam family "Bacterial small subunit ribosomal RNA", at positions 355 to 776 of the family's 1533-position model. Lineage: Bacteria; Pseudomonadati; Verrucomicrobiota. The record is from RNAcentral.
UGGGGAAUAUUGGACAAUGGAGGAAACUCUGAUCCAGCAAUUCUGUGUGUGUGAAGAAGGUUUUAGGACUGUAACACACUUUUAGUAGGGAAGAAAAAAAUGACGGUACCUACAGAAGAAGCAACGGCUAAAUACGUGCCAGCAGCCGCGGUAAUACGUAUGUUGCGAGCGUUAUCCGGAAUUAUUGGGCUUAAAGGGCAUCUAGGCGGUAAGACAAGUUGAAGGUGAAAACCUGUGGCUCAACCAUAGGCUUGCCUACAAAACUGUUGAACUAGAGUACUGGAAAGGUGGGUGGAACUACACGAGUAGAGGUGAAAUUCGUAGAUAUGUGUAGGAAUGCCGAUGAUGAAGAUAACUCACUGGACAGAAACUGACGCUGAAGUGCGAAAGCUAGGGGAGCAAACAGG